RNAcentral lists this ribosomal RNA (253 nucleotides) under uncultured bacterium. RNAcentral describes it as "partial 16S ribosomal RNA". It matches the Rfam family "Bacterial small subunit ribosomal RNA", at positions 524 to 776 of the family's 1533-position model. The record is from RNAcentral.
UACGUAGGGGGCAAGCGUUGUCCGGAUUCAUUGGGCGUAAAGAGCGUGUAGGCGGCCAGGUAGGUCGGUUGUGAAAACUGGAGGCUCAACCUUCAGAGGUCGACCGAAACCAUCUGGCUAGAGUCCGGGAGAGGAGAGUGGAAUUCCUGGUGUAGCGGUGAAAUGCGUAGAUAUCAGGAGGAACACCGGCGGUGUAGACGGCUUUCUGGACCGUAGCUGACGCUGAGACACGAAAGCGUGGGUAGCAAACAGG